UGGCUCAGGAUGAACGCUGGCGGCGUUGCUUUAACACAUGCAAGUCGAACGAAGCACUCUAUUUGAUUUUCUUCGGAAAUGAAGAUUUUUGUGACUGAGUGGCGGACGGGUGAGUAACGCGUGGGUAACCUGCCUCAUACAGGGGGGAUAACAGUUGGAAACGACUGCUAAUACCGCAUAAGCGCACGGUAUCGCAUGGUACAGUGUGAAAAACUCCGGUGGUAUGAGAUGGACCCGCGUCUGAUUAGCUAGUUGGUGGGGUAACGGCCUACCAAGGCGACGAUCAGUAGCCGACCUGAGAGGGUGACCGGCCACAUUGGGACUGAGACACGGCCCAAACUCCUACGGGAGGCAGCAGUGGGGAAUAUUGCACAAUGGGGGAAACCCUGAUGCAGCGACGCCGCGUGAACGAAGAAGUAUUUCGGUAUGUAAAGUUCUAUCAGCAGGGAAGAUAAUGACGGUACCUGACUAAGAAGCACCGGCUAAAUACGUG
RNAcentral lists this ribosomal RNA (493 nucleotides) under uncultured bacterium. RNAcentral's name for it is "bacterial SSU rRNA". It matches the Rfam family "Bacterial small subunit ribosomal RNA", at positions 20 to 507 of the family's 1533-position model. The record is from RNAcentral.